ACUUAGAUAGUUUAAUAAAAAUAUUAAUUUGUGGGGUUAAAGAUACAAGUAAUUUUGUUUUAGGUA
This 66-nucleotide transfer RNA is filed under the name Ips nitidus. Its description in RNAcentral is "tRNA-His". The record is from RNAcentral. Lineage: Eukaryota; Metazoa; Arthropoda; Insecta; Coleoptera; Curculionidae.